RNAcentral lists this ribosomal RNA (188 nucleotides) under uncultured Staphylococcus sp. RNAcentral describes it as "partial 16S ribosomal RNA". It matches the Rfam family "Bacterial small subunit ribosomal RNA", at positions 152 to 334 of the family's 1533-position model. Lineage: Bacteria; Bacillati; Bacillota; Bacilli; Caryophanales; Staphylococcaceae. The record is from RNAcentral.
GGAAACCGGAGUUAAUACCGGAUAAUAUAUUGAACCGCAUGGUUCAAUAGUGAAAGACGGUUUUGCUGUCACUUAUAGAUGGAUCCGCGCCGCAUUAGCUAGUUGGUAAGGUAACGGCUUACCAAGGCAACGAUGCGUAGCCGACCUGAGAGGGUGAUCGGCCACACUGGAACUGAGACACGGUCCAG